AAUAGAUACCCGGGUAGUCCACGCCGUAAACGAUGAGUGCUAAGUGUUAGAGGGUUUCCGCCCUUUAGUGCUGCAGCUAACGCAUUAAGCACUCCGCCUGGGGAGUACGGUCGCAAGACUGAAACUCAAAGGAAUUGACGGGGGCCCGCACAAGCGGUGGAGCAUGUGGUUUAAUUCGAAGCAACGCGAAGAACCUUACCAGGUCUUGACAUCCUCUGACAACUCUAGAGAUAGAGCGUUCCCCUUCGGGGGACAGAGUGACAGGUGGUGCAUGGUUGUCGUCAGCUCGUGUCGUGAGAUGUUGGGUUAAGUCCCGCAACGAGCGCAACCCUUGAUCUUAGUUGCCAGCAUUCAGUUGGGCACUCUAAGGUGACUGCCGGUGACAAACCGGAGGAAGGUGGGGAUGACGUCAAAUCAUCAUGCCCCUUAUGACCUGGGCUACACACGUGCUACAAUGGAUGGUACAAAGGGCUGCAAGACCGCGAGGUCAAGCCAAUCCCAUAAAACCAUUCUCAAUUCGGAUUGU
This 526-nucleotide ribosomal RNA is filed under the name uncultured bacterium. RNAcentral's name for it is "bacterial SSU rRNA". It matches the Rfam family "Bacterial small subunit ribosomal RNA", at positions 777 to 1301 of the family's 1533-position model. The record is from RNAcentral.